This 788-nucleotide ribosomal RNA is filed under the name Macrobiotus paulinae. RNAcentral describes it as "eukaryotic LSU rRNA". It matches the Rfam family "Eukaryotic large subunit ribosomal RNA", at positions 44 to 650 of the family's 3401-position model. Lineage: Eukaryota; Metazoa; Tardigrada; Eutardigrada; Parachela; Macrobiotidae. The record is from RNAcentral.
UACUAAGCGGAGGAAAAGAAACCAACGGGGAUGCCGAUAGUACUGCGAGUGAAAUCGGCCAAGCCCAGCGCCGAAUCCUGUUGCUGGCGACGGUGACAGGAACUGUGGCGUGAAGAACGUCCUUACCGGUACGGUUUGCGUGCGUAAGUUCUCCUGAGUGAGGCUCCAUUCCAAGGAGGGUGCAAGACCCGUAUCGCGUGCAACCGGUGUCGGUGUAAGAUGUUCGGAGAGUCGCCUUGUUUGUGAGUACAAGGUGAAGUCGGUGGUAAACUCCAUCGAAGGCUAAAUAUGACCACGAGUCCGAUAGCGAACAAGUACCGUGAGGGAAAAUUGAAAAGCACUUUGAAGAGAGAGCGAAACAGUGCGUGAAACCGCUCAGAGGCAAGCAAAUGGGGCCUCGAAGGCAAGGCAGCGAAUUCAGCUGGUGGUCUGCGCGGCUGGUUGGUUUGGAGAUCUUACGACUCUGGCCGGCUGGGCUCUGAGCGUAGGUGCCAGUGCACUUUUGUUGCUUGUACGCCACCGCCGUUGAGUGGGCAUCCGUCGAGUUGGCAAUGCGAAGCCUUGAGCCUUUACGGGCCUAGGUGCUUGCAGCCGGCUUUUGUACGCGUUUGCACUUCAACCGGUCAUGUUUGCAUGUGCCAGCAAUUUGGCGUUGGAUCGGCUUGCUCUGCCGUUUGUCGUGAGAUGACGAGCUUGCUCGGCUCUUCGGCAUCUAUGGUAGAAUCGGGUCGGUUUCAACGUGGGCACAUUGUAAUUCGGUGGCGAGUAGAUGGCUGCCCAUUUAACCC